RNAcentral lists this ribosomal RNA (481 nucleotides) under uncultured bacterium. Its description in RNAcentral is "partial 16S ribosomal RNA". It matches the Rfam family "Bacterial small subunit ribosomal RNA", at positions 28 to 507 of the family's 1533-position model. The record is from RNAcentral.
GAUGAACGCUGGCGGCGUGCUUAACACAUGCAAGUCGAACGAAGCACUUUAUUUGAUUUCCUUCGGGACUGAUUAUUUUGUGACUGAGUGGCGGACGGGUGAGUAACGCGUGGGUAACCUGCCUUGUACAGGGGGAUAACAGUUGGAAACGGCUGCUAAUACCGCAUAAGCGCACGGCAUCGCAUGAUGCAGUGUGAAAAACUCCGGUGGUAUAAGAUGGACCCGCGUUGGAUUAGCUAGUUGGUGAGGUAACGGCCCACCAAGGCGACGAUCCAUAGCCGAGCUGAGAGGGUGACCGGCCACAUUGGGACUGAGACACGGCCCAAACUCCUACGGGAGGCAGCAGUGGGGAAUAUUGCACAAUGGGCGAAAGCCUGAUGCAGCGACGCCGCGUGAGCGAAGAAGUAUUUCGGUAUGUAAAGCUCUAUCAGCAGGGAAGAUAAUGACGGUACCUGACUAAGAAGCACCGGCUAAAUACGUG